AUUGAACGCUGGCGGAAUGCUUUACUCAUGCAAGUCGAGCGGCAGCACGGGGGCAACCCUGGUUGCGAGCGGCGAACGGGUGAGUAAUACAUCGGAACAUGCUCAGUCGUGGGGGAUAACACUUCGAAAGAAGUGCUAAUACCGCAUACGUCCUGAGGGGGAAAGCGGGGGAUCGCAAGACCUCGCGCGAUUGGAGUGGCCGAUGUCAGAUUGGCUAGUUGGUGGGUUAAAGGCCUACCAAGGCAACGAUCUGUAGCUGGCCUGAGAGGAUGAUAAGCCGCACUGGGACUGAGACACGGCCCAGGCUCCUAAGAGAGGCAGCAGUGGGGAAUUUUAGACAAUGGGGGCAACCCUGAUCCAGCCAGUCCGCGUGAGUGAAGAAGGCCUUCGGGUUGUAAAGCUCUUUCGGCAGGAACGAAACGGUGAGCUCUAACAUAGCUUGCUAAUGACGGUACCUGAAGAAGAAGCACCGGCUAACUACGUG
This 484-nucleotide ribosomal RNA is filed under the name uncultured bacterium. RNAcentral's name for it is "partial 16S ribosomal RNA". It matches the Rfam family "Bacterial small subunit ribosomal RNA", at positions 30 to 507 of the family's 1533-position model. The record is from RNAcentral.